CCUACGGGAGGCAGCAGUAGGGAAUAUUGCUCAAUGGGGGAAACCCUGAAGCAGCAACGCCGCGUGGAGGAUGAAGGUUUUCGGAUUGUAAACCUCUUUUGUUAGAGAAGAUAAUGACGGUAUCUAACGAAUAAGCACCGGCUAAUUUCGUUCCAGCAGCCGCGGUAAUACGGAGGGUGCAAGCGUUACUCGGAAUCACUGGGCGUAAAGAGCGCGUAGGCGGGAUAGCAAGUCAGUUGUGAAAUCCUAUGGCUUAACCAUAGAACUGCAUUUGAAACUGUCAUUCUAGAGUACAGGAGAGGUAGGUGGAAUUCUUGGUGUAGGGGUAAAAUGCGUAGAGAUCAAGAAGAAUACUCAUUGCGAAGGCGACCUGCUAGAACAUAACUGACGCUGAUGCGCGAAAGCGUGGGGAGCAAACAGGAUUAGAUACCCUAGUAGUC
RNAcentral lists this ribosomal RNA (440 nucleotides) under uncultured bacterium. RNAcentral's name for it is "partial 16S ribosomal RNA". It matches the Rfam family "Bacterial small subunit ribosomal RNA", at positions 338 to 795 of the family's 1533-position model. The record is from RNAcentral.